GACGAACGCUGGCGGCGUGCUUAACACAUGCAAGUCGAACGGAAAGGCCCUGCUUUUGUGGGGUGCUCGAGUGGCGAACGGGUGAGUAACACGUGAGUAACCUGCCCUUGACUUUGGGAUAACUUCAGGAAACUGGGGCUAAUACCGGAUAGGAGCUCCUGCUGCAUGGUGGGGGUUGGAAAGUUUCGGCGGUUGGGGAUGGACUCGCGGCUUAUCAGCUUGUUGGUGGGGUAGUGGCUUACCAAGGCUUUGACGGGUAGCCGGCCUGAGAGGGUGACCGGCCACAUGGGGACUGAGAUACGGCCCAGACUCCAACGGGAGGCAGCAGUGGGGAAUAUUGCACAGUGGGCGGAAGCCUGAUGCAGCAACGCCGCGUGCGGGAUGACGGCCUUCGGGUUGUAAACCGCUUUCGCCUGUGACGAAGCGUGAGUGACGGUAAUGGGUAAAGAAGCACCGGCUAACUACGUG
RNAcentral lists this ribosomal RNA (468 nucleotides) under uncultured bacterium. RNAcentral describes it as "partial 16S ribosomal RNA". It matches the Rfam family "Bacterial small subunit ribosomal RNA", at positions 28 to 507 of the family's 1533-position model. The record is from RNAcentral.